AUACGGGGGGUGCAAGCGUUAAUCGGAAUUACUGGGCGUAAAGCGCGCGUAGGUGGUUUGUUAAGUUGGAUGUGAAAGCCCCGGGCUCAACCUGGGAACUGCAUCCAAAACUGGCAAGCUAGAGUACGGUAGAGGGUGGUGGAAUUUCCUGUGUAGCGGUGAAAUGCGUAGAUAUAGGAAGGAACACCAGUGGCGAAGGCGACCACCUGGACUGAUACUGACACUGAGGUGCGAAAGCGUGGGGAGCAAACAGGAUUAGAUACCCGAGUAGUCC
This 274-nucleotide ribosomal RNA is filed under the name uncultured bacterium. Its description in RNAcentral is "partial 16S ribosomal RNA". It matches the Rfam family "Bacterial small subunit ribosomal RNA", at positions 523 to 796 of the family's 1533-position model. The record is from RNAcentral.